AUAGCGUAUAUUAAAGUUGUUGCAGUUAAAAAGCUCGUAGUUGAACUUCGAACCUGGCUGGGUGGUCUGCCUUCACGGUAUGUACUGCCCGGCCGGGUUCUACCUCUUGGUGAGCCGGCAUGCCCUUUACUGGGUGUGUCGGGGAACCAGGACUUUUACCUUGAGAAAAUUAGAGUGUUCAAAGCAGGCCUUCGCCCGAAUACAUUAGCAUGGCAUAAUAAAAUAGGACGUGCGGUUCUAUUUUGUUGGUUUCUAGAGUCGCCGUAAUGAUUAAUAGGGAUAGUUGGGGGCAUUUGUAUUCCGUUGCUAGAGGUGAAAUUCUUGGAUUUACGGAAGACAAACUACUG
RNAcentral lists this ribosomal RNA (347 nucleotides) under uncultured eukaryote. Its description in RNAcentral is "SSU rRNA". It matches the Rfam family "Eukaryotic small subunit ribosomal RNA", at positions 594 to 945 of the family's 1831-position model. The record is from RNAcentral.